Molecule: ribosomal RNA, 492 nt
Filed under: uncultured bacterium
Lineage: Bacteria
Description: partial 16S ribosomal RNA
Rfam family: Bacterial small subunit ribosomal RNA
Source: RNAcentral
GACGAACGCUGGCGGCGUGCUUAACACAUGCAAGUCGAACGGAAAGGCCCCCACUUUUUUGGUGGGGGUGCUCGAGUGGCGAACGGGUGAGUAACACGUGGGUGAUCUGCCCUGUACUUCGGGAUAAGCUUGGGAAACUGGGUCUAAUACCGGAUAGGACCAUGGUUUAGUGUCUCAUGGUGGAAAAAUUAUUGUUUUGGUGCAGGAUGAGCUCGCGGCCUAUCAGCUUGUUGGUGGGGUAAUGGCCUACCAAGGCGUCGACGGGUAGCCGGCCUGAGAGGGUGGACGGCCACAUUGGGACUGAGAUACGGCCCAGACUCCUACGGGAGGCAGCAGUGGGGAAUAUUGCACAAUGGGCGCAAGCCUGAUGCAGCGACGCCGCGUGGGGGAUGACGGCCGUCGGGUUGUAAACUCCUUUCGUUAGGGACGAAGCCGCACCUUUUUUGGGUGUGGUGACGGUACCUUUGUUAAGAAGCACCGGCUAACUACGUG